GGAUCCGCACAAGUAGUGGAGCAUGUGGUUUAAUUCGAAGAUACGCGCAGAACCUUACCAACACUUGACAUGUUCGUCGCGACUCUAAGAGAUUAGAGUUUUCGGUUCGGCCGGACGAAACACAGGUGCUGCAUGGCUGUCGUCAGCUCGUGUCGUGAGAUGUUGGGUUAAGUCCCGCAACGAGCGCAACCCUCACUUUUAGUUGCCAUCAUUAAGUUGGGCACUCUGAAAGAACUGCCAGUGAUAAGCUGGAGGAAGGUGGGGAUGACGUCAAGUCCUCAUGGCCCUUACGUGUUGGGCUACACACGUGCUACAAUGGUAAAGACAAAGGGUUGCUACUUGGCGACAAGAUG
RNAcentral lists this ribosomal RNA (353 nucleotides) under uncultured bacterium. Its description in RNAcentral is "bacterial SSU rRNA". It matches the Rfam family "Bacterial small subunit ribosomal RNA", at positions 917 to 1267 of the family's 1533-position model. The record is from RNAcentral.